Lemur catta (Ring-tailed lemur) is the source of this 1417-nucleotide long non-coding RNA. RefSeq lists it as uncharacterized. The transcript is spliced from 7 exons. NCBI's taxonomy places the organism in Eukaryota, Metazoa, Chordata, Mammalia, Primates, Lemuridae. The record is from RefSeq and is a predicted model, not a curated record.
GACCCUGCCAAUGCUACACACGCCCAGACCCUCUGCACUGCGAAGAGCGCGGCGGCUCGCUCCCGUUCGGCUCUUCCCUGGAAAUGCGCGCAGGAGGGGAGGUGUCGAAGAUCACGUCCAGGGGAGGGCUCAGAGAGAGAAUAGUAAUGAGCUGUGAAAUGACCAAAAAUCUGGCAGCAGAAAGGAAAAGAAAAAAAAUAGCAGAGGGAGGCUUAAGAUGUGGUGAUUUUCUGAUGCUUAAGCCCUCAGAAGACUCAAUUAUCUGCAAUGGGAAAAGCACCAGGAAGAGGGGAAUGGCCUGACUUCAGGAGACCUUGGAUCUCUUGGACCUGUGUGGAGAGCACCAGACAGAAGUUAGUGUCUACAAAUGCUUCUAGUGGCUGCUGGUGUGCCUUGACUUGUGACUGUGUCUCUCCAGUCUUCAAGGCUUCCCCACCACCCCGCUGGGCUCAGUGUGAGCGCACAGGAGAGGAGAACGCAGGGAGAAAGCAAUGGCUGCAGAGCCGGAGUGCUCAGCGGCAGAGCCGCCUUUCCCCUGGGCCUGAUGCAAAGACAGGCCCCAACCUCUUUCUUGUCAUUCAUCGGUUUUGCUGAACCUGGAAAGGAAAUAAAUUCCAAAGGCAGGAAAUGACCCAGAGACCAUAACAAUAUGUGAAAAGCUGAGCUGCUGCUUCCGCCACUUUGUUUCCAACUACUCUAAUCCGUGUCCCAGGAAGCCUAACCCAUUGCCAGAUGGCGAUCUGUUUUCAGAGGCCUCUUGGCAUCUGCCACUCCCGGCUGGUGACAUUUGCGCAUUUCAGAAGGCAAACCUGUCCCAACGUCUUCAAACUUCCAGAAAGGUAUAGCCCCAGGAAAGUCCUUGGGUCUCUGGCUGACAGCACCAACCAUCUGAUCUGCUUCAUCUGCAGCUGAACUGCUGCUGGACUCCAGCCUAGAACACUAGCACACCGGGGCUGCGCUUGAAGAUUUGCAGAAUCUGAAAUCAAAAUGCUGCGUGUUGCCAGAAAAGGCUGGCUCCCUUGCCUGCCUCAUAAUCCCUUCUCACCAGGCUUUCCUAAAGAAACCCGAUGAGUCAGGAAGGAAAAGGAAGAAAACACGUCUGAGGGAGAUCUGAGGGCAGGCUGAGAUCCCUCGUUGCUUCUGAAAAUUCCUCCUGUUUUGCCAUGCGGGCACAUGUUUGGGAUGCCUGCCCACUGGGGGCCAUCUAGUCUAUUGCAUUCAUCACAGAGGAUGAGAAGAGAAGACACAACUUCUUGAGUGAAAGAACAGAGACUGACCUACCUUGAACGAGAAGGAAUUCUGCCGCAGGCUGCCUUUGGACUCUGCGUCUCCUUCCUGAAUCUCCAUCUUCUUGGCCUACCCCAUUGGAUUUUGGAUUUUGGCUCCACAAUUACAUGAGCCAAUUCCUUAAAAUAAG